GAAAAGUGAGUUCCUAAUAAGAUGAAAUCAUCGUUGGACUUCCAAUCAAAGCAAUUCAUAGGAUCAACACUUACAAAGAUUCCAGUAAACGUUCUCAUUGUCUUUGAUUGAUUACAAACAGAUUUCUGCCUAUCGCACAAAGCCCAUGCUUGUAAUCUGACGGGAACUAUUAAAAACAAGUGAACAUAUCAGGAAAACAUCUACUGAUCUCCAUCCAUUACGCCAUGUAAGUUGGUUCCCUUGGAGUUCAGGUAAUACAUAGACAACCAAAUCAACUGAAUAGAGAAAGAAAUCUGCACUAUACUGGUAGCUAAGCGAGACCUGCAGGAGCACAGGAGCAUGGUUUGAUCAUGGAAUUGGGAAUCAGUUUAAAAAAGAAAGGGGGAGAGGCUAGGGUGGAAGGGAUCUCACCAAGAUGUAGCUAUGGAGGGGGGCGACUGGAGGAAGCAGCUCGGGUGCUUGCAUGGCUAGGUGGGCUCCGGCCUUGGGGCGGCACACGCACCAUCCUGUCACCGCAAGUAGUAGUGCUGCAGUCCUUUCCCAACCGCCGUCGCGCUCGUGACUCCGAGCCAUCGCCGGCGACGUCGCGCUCGUGGCUCCUAGCCGCCGCCGCCGCACUGCUUGAUCUCUAUCUGUUUGAAAGCAGGAAUCGCGAUUGGAUCGAAGCACCAUCUCGAUGAAUCCCCUUUUCUGGCGGAGGCCAAAAAGUAAAGAGGGACGAACCUGGGGCCGCCGGAGACGCGCCUGUCAGGUAGCAGUGUAUCUGAAGAUAUAUCUUCAGUUAACUGUACCAUUCCUGACACUUACCGUUUCAGCUGAUCCAACGGUUCAAG
RNAcentral lists this long non-coding RNA (833 nucleotides) under Triticum aestivum (bread wheat). RNAcentral's name for it is "long non-coding RNA (TAES_LNC019463)". Lineage: Eukaryota; Viridiplantae; Streptophyta; Magnoliopsida; Poales; Poaceae. The record is from RNAcentral.